RNAcentral lists this transfer RNA (85 nucleotides) under Chloroflexota bacterium. RNAcentral's name for it is "Chloroflexi bacterium tRNA-Val". It matches the Rfam family "tRNA". Rfam says of the family: Transfer RNA (tRNA) molecules are approximately 80 nucleotides in length. Their secondary structure includes four short double-helical elements and three loops (D, anti-codon, and T loops). The record is from RNAcentral. Lineage: Bacteria; Bacillati; Chloroflexota.
GGCCCCGUGACGGAAUCGGCAGACGUUGGGCACUUACACUGCCCUGAGCCUCCGGCUCGUGAGGGUUCGAAUCCCUCCGGGGCCA